This 468-nucleotide ribosomal RNA is filed under the name uncultured bacterium. RNAcentral describes it as "partial 16S ribosomal RNA". It matches the Rfam family "Bacterial small subunit ribosomal RNA", at positions 28 to 507 of the family's 1533-position model. The record is from RNAcentral.
GACGAACGCUGGCGGCGUGCUUAACACAUGCAAGUCGAACGGAAAGGCCCUGCUUUUGUGGGCUGCUCGAGUGGCGAACGGGUGAGUAACACGUGAGUAACCUGCCCUUGACUUUGGGAUAACUUCAGGAAACUGGGGCUAAUACCGUAUAGGAUCUCCUGCUGCAGGGUGGGGGGUGGAAAGUUUAGGCGGUUGGGGUUGGACGCGCGGCUGAUCAGCUUGUUGGUUGGGGAGGGGCUUGCCAAGGCUUGGGAGGGUCGCCGGCAGGGGAGGGUGGCCGGCGACAUUGCGCCUGCGGUACGGACCAGAGUGCUACGGGGGGCAGAAGUGGGGAAUAUUGCCCAAUGGGAGGAAGUGUGAUGCAGCAGCGCUGCGUGCGGGAUGACGGCUUUCGGGUUGUGAAAAGCUUCCGCCUGUGACGAAGCGGGAGUGACGGUAAUGGGUAAAGAAGCACCGGCUAACUACGUG